AGCGGCGAGCGAAGCGGGAAGAGCUCAAAUUUAUAAUCUGGCACCUUCGGUGUCCGAGUUGUAAUCUCUAGAAAUGUUUUCCGCGUUGGACCGCACACAAGUCUGUUGGAAUACAGCGGCAUAGUGGUGAGACCCCCGUAUAUGGUGCGGACGCCCAGCGCUUUGUGAUACAUUUUCGAAGAGUCGAGUUGUUUGGGAAUGCAGCUCAAAUUGGGUGGUAAAUUCCAUCUAAAGCUAAAUAUUGGCGAGAGACCGAUAGCGAACAAGUACCGUGAGGGAAAGAUGAAAAGCACUUUGGAAAGAGAGUUAACAGUACGUGAAAUUGUUGGAAGGGAAACGCUUGAAGUCAGACUUGCUUGCCGAGCAAUCGGUUUGCAGGCCAGCAUCAGUUUUCCGGGAUGGAUAAUGGUAGAGAGAAGGUAGCAGUUUCGGCUGUGUUAUAGCUCUCUGCUGGAUACAUCUUGGGGGACUGAGGAACGCAGUGUGCCUUUGGCGGGGGUUUCGACCUCUUCACACUUAGGAUGCUGGUGGAAUGGCUUUAAACGGUCCGUCUUGAAACACGGACCAUUU
Molecule: ribosomal RNA, 570 nt
Filed under: Rhodotorula mucilaginosa
Lineage: Eukaryota; Fungi; Basidiomycota; Microbotryomycetes; Sporidiobolales; Sporidiobolaceae
Description: eukaryotic LSU rRNA
Rfam family: Eukaryotic large subunit ribosomal RNA
Source: RNAcentral